UGUCCAGACUCCUACGGGAGGCAGCAGUGGGGAAUAUUGCACAAUGGGGGAAACCCUGAUGCAGCGACGCCGCGUGAGCGAUGAAGUAUUUCGGUAUGUAAAGCUCUAUCAGCAGGGAAGAAAAUGACGGUACCUGACUAAGAAGCCCCGGCUAACUACGUGCCAGCAGCCGCGGUAAUACGUAGGGGGCAAGCGUUAUCCGGAUUUACUGGGUGUAAAGGGAGCGUAGACGGCUGUGCAAGCCAGAUGUGAAAGCCCGGGGCUCAACCCCGGGACUGCUUUGGAAACUGUGUUGCUGGAGUGCAGGAGGGGUAAGCGGAAUUCCUAGUGUAGCGGUGAAAUGCGUAGAUAUUAGGAGGAACACCGGUGGCGAAGGCGGCUUACUGGACUGUAACUGACGUUGAGGCUCGAAGGCGUGGGGAGCAAACAGGAUUAGAUACCCCGGUA
This 447-nucleotide ribosomal RNA is filed under the name uncultured bacterium. Its description in RNAcentral is "bacterial SSU rRNA". It matches the Rfam family "Bacterial small subunit ribosomal RNA", at positions 328 to 792 of the family's 1533-position model. The record is from RNAcentral.